AUUAAAAGAAACACAAACCAAAAGGCAGAACGCACUCAGUGCCCCUGCAACAUCUCUGCUUAUUCACAGGCCAUUUCAAAUCAGCCAAGUUAAACACUGCCCUGCACUAUCCCCACACUCAGUACAUUUCCCAAGGACACAGUUUAAAGGCUUUCAUCAAGGCACAGCUUAAUUUAUUUGUUUGCUUCUCCCCUUGCUCAGGAGAAAGCAUUUUUGUUUAAAUGGGGAGAAUAAAUAGUCUCCUGACCCUUCUCUCUGCAGCACGUGCUCCUGCACUGCCCUGUGUUUAUAAGGCUAAUGGGGGAGAAUGCUGUGGGAGGCCCUUGUUAAAACACUGGCAGUGCCUUCCCUUUUGUAACAGGAUGAUUCAGGGUUGCAUUGUGUGUGCAGAAGCAGGAAAAGGAAGAGGAGGCUAAUAAAAAAUAUCCAUUAUCGGAGCUUUCUGUGCAUAAGGACAGACGGGCAAAAUGCAGGGAAGACAACAAAUACCUUGGAAUAAAGAGCCCAUGAUGGAGAUAAAUAAUCAUGGGGCUCAUUCAACAAGAGCCUGCUGUUUAGAAAUCCACUGGAACAGCUGCAGCUUACACGUCAUUAUACUUCUGAUCAGUGAGCAUUAGGAGCCUUUUUGUGAGUCCCUUGUUUGUUAUAUCAAUCAUUGCAAAACAGACUCUACAGACAUAAAACCACACAGGAAACAUGGGGACUUCUCCUCACCCCAACUUUGGUAGUCAGUCUCCAUUUUAAUAUUUUUAACUCCACCCCUUUAUUUUUCUUUUCUCCAGUGUUCUGGUGUUAAAUGUACAUCUUUGUCAUCAGGCCUGUAUGGUUUUCUCUUGGCUUUUUAAAUCAUCUGUUAGUAGAGUUUGAUAUCAUAUCACACCUUCUGGCUUGGGAGACACUCAUGGAAACCUGGAACUAUAAAGGAGCAGAGGGGAAAAACCAGUUUCUAGCACAACCAGUGCAGGUUUGGUGUACCACCCACAGAUCUCACCUGGCCAUUCUCCACCUCUGCCUGAUUUGCUGCAGACCUUGUGGCCCUUCCAGCUGCCUGGGGAGGGACAUCUCUGCAGGGACAGAAGUGACCUGUGCUCUCUGCACAGGGUGCAGCCCGUGGUGCUGGCCACUGCUCUGCCCAUCCUGCUGCAGACACGUGGAUACAGCUUUAAGUGUGGGAUCCUCUGGAUGCUGAACUCCUUCUCGCAGGUCUUCUCCAAUUUCCUCUCUCUCCUAGACUAUUAACUUCCCAACAGUGUAAGGGUGACAGCACGGCCUAUCUAAGCAGUGGUUAGCCAUAGCUGAGCAGGCAAUCUGCAUGGAAAAAUGUAACAUGCUGUGUUUCCAAAAUGUUUGUUAAAGAUCCUGUGUGAGAUAACAUAAUAUUACUUAGAAAAAUGAUGUGAUAUAAUUAAAAAGGUCUCCUCCUCUACCCCCACUGCCUGCUAUUAGUUGUUCCCUGCUCUCCUUGGAGCUCUCUGGCAGCACACAAGCAAAUAAGCAGCAUCAAUCACCUACAUUCACUUUGGUUUUCUUUUUCAUCCUUGUUGUUUAAUUUAAAAAUGUCCCAAAGUUGUUAUUGUGUUCCCCCCACUCCUAAUAAAU
This 1599-nucleotide long non-coding RNA is filed under the name Parus major (Great Tit). RNAcentral describes it as "lncRNA (ENSPMJG00000011054.1)". The record is from RNAcentral. Lineage: Eukaryota; Metazoa; Chordata; Aves; Passeriformes; Paridae.